RNAcentral lists this long non-coding RNA (26571 nucleotides) under Coffea arabica (coffee). RNAcentral's name for it is "long non-coding RNA (CARA_LNC003518)". The record is from RNAcentral. Lineage: Eukaryota; Viridiplantae; Streptophyta; Magnoliopsida; Gentianales; Rubiaceae.
AUGGUGGAAAGAAACAAAGGCAACCUCUUUACCUUUGGACAAUCUAACAUUUCAAUCUCCUCAAUUGAAUCGCAGAUCAUGGUUGCCUUGCAAACGUUCUUCAGUUGUGGCAGGUUAUCCAGACGCAACCACCUCAAUUUCGGAAGGAUGACAGUGGCAGUGGCUCCUUCACUUGAAGUCAAUUGGGUGCCUUCUCCUCCUCCUUGUCCUACUCCAUUGCCAUCUGCUGCUAUCUCCUCCAGUCCUUCACAAUCUUUAACUGCUAAUUUUCCAAGAUUUUGAAGGAUCUGCAGCAACUGCACCGUGAAUAGCUGCUUCAUGUUAUGAUAUCCAGAAAUGCUCAAUUUUUUGAGGGAAGAAAAGGUGCCAGCUGAAAGCAAAUAUGGUGGUCCGUCGAUGGUGGAAAGAAACGAAGGCAGCCUCUUUAAAUUUGGACAAUCUAACAUUGUAAUCUCCUCAAUUGAUUCGCAGAUCAUGGUUGCCUUGCAAAUGUUCUUCAGUUGUGGCAGGUUAUCCAGACACAACCGCCUUAAUUUCGGAAGGAUGACAGUGGCGGUGGCUCCUUCACUUGAAGUCAAUUGGGUGCCUUCUCCUCCUCCUCGUCCUACUCCAUUGCCAUCUGCUUCUAUCUCCUCCAGUCCUUCACAAUCUUCAACUCUUAAUGUUUCAAGAUUUUGAAGGUUCUGCAGCAACUGUACUGUGAAUAGCUGCUUCAUGUUGUCACAGUCAAAAACCCACAACUCUUUAAGGGAAGAAAAUGUGCCAGCUGGAAACAAAUAUGAUGGUUCUGAUUCUCCGUAAAAUAGACCAACCAGAUUUGGCAAACUCCAGAGGCGUAACUCUUCGAGACCACGGAGUGGACUAAAAGACGAGUCUUCCGGCUGAUCACGUGGAAAAGCAGAAGACAAUUGCCAGAGGAACUCUAUUCCAACCGAAUCCAUAAUAUCCAAUCUAGAUAAGUGGCUUAAAUUUAUAAAAUUCUUAAAAACAUCUGACAAGCACCUAAUGCCCAUGCCCUCACAAUCCUCGAUUAUCAGAGAUUUCAUAUCAUCUGGCAGAUAGUUCGAUCCUCUACCAAGCUUACACUGAUGGAAAUGCAGAUCUUGCACCAGGAACCGAUUAAUUCCACCAUCAACAAAACUCGGUUCCUCAGUUAAGAUGUCAUUGAUAUAAACAGUAUAAUAGUAUUUUGGUCACCGAGUGAUUUUAUAGAAGUCCAUAAAAGACAAACAUCCUCCAAAACUUUCUAAUUGGUUCAACACUUCUGGAUCAUUAACUUGUACCCUACCAUUGGAUGGCAAUAAUAACAGUUGAAGACGGUGAAAUUGGGAAAAUGUCCCUUUUGGUAUUAUCUUUUGGCUUAAAGCCCCAUACUCGUCCAAGUUAAGCCUUUCGAGGUUGACCAGUGACUUCCAACCUUCAGGUAAAUCCUCAAUCUUAGUGUAGGAUAGGUCCAAAUCCCUCAAUUGCUUGAGCUUUCCCAGUGGUGGCACAGAUCGGAGGUCCCGACAACCCCUCAAAAUCAGGGCAGUGAGAUUCACCAAGUCUGAAACAGAAUCAGGUAGCUCUAUUAUACCUCCGCACCGAGAUAGAUUCAAAACUUUAAGUCCACACAUGUGCCGAAAGAAUGAAUCUGGGAUUUCUUCUAUGGAAACAUCAGAAAGAAGCAAGGUUGAGAGCUUAAGACAAUUUGGUGACCAGGCUGGCGGAACUUUUAUUUCUGGGUGUGGAGCUGAAAAUGAAUGAAAGGAGACUGCAUGGAGAUCUUCUGUCCACUCUCCUUGUUCCAGUGUUACUUUAGAAUUUCCCUUUCCUAUGCUUUUCACCAAGAACUGUGGUACAUCCCCGUUCAUCUGUAGGUUGGAUUUUCCUUUCGUGAUUCUUAAUGCCAUAUCUCUGACCAAAUCAUGCAUCUUCACACAGUCACCCCUUCCGAAAUCUUUAGUUUCUUCUAGCAAGCAAACUUUUAUCAGUUUGUUUAAUAUUGUGUGACCUUCAUCAAAUUCUUUUGGUCUUGAGUCCCGUUUUGGCAUCAGCUCUGCCCAAAUAAAGAGGUCUAUUAGUUUCUCUCUGCUUAUAUCACUAUCUUCCGGAUAAAGACAGCAAUACAAGAAGCAAUUCUUUUCACAUUUAUUCAGGCGAUUGAAACUCCAUUCCAGGAUGCGAAACACAUCUCGUUCCAUCUCAUGAUACCCUAUUGAACAUGUUUUCAAUUGUUCCAAUGCAUUUCUCCACUCACAAAUGUCGGUCACACCUCUCAUGCUUCCAGCCACUGUGAUAAUGCCAAGAGGCAAACCAUCACACUCUUCCACAAUGGACUUGGCAAUACUUUCCAAAUCUCCUUGAAGCAAGGGCUCGCUACCAAGUUUAUACUUGAACAAAUCCCAAGCUUCGCCUGUGUCCAGAGUUUGCAAAUCAAACUUUCUUUGACAUUGUAUCCUGUUGCACACUUGCAGUGAGCGAGUAGUCAAAAUCAAUCUGCACUUGUUUGGAUGAAGUGGAAUCCCUACCCUGUCUAAACAAAAUUCUUCCCAAACAUCAUCCAAUAUGAGUACUAUUAAUUUCAGCAUUUUCCUGAAUAUGUCACGCAAUAUUCUUGCCCUGGUGUCUUCCUCGUCCCUACUGGAUAGAUUAAUGCCCAAGACAUUGGCAAUCUUAUCCUGCAAGCUGGUGACACUGAAGUCUUGAGAUACUGUAACCCAAAGCACCCGAUAAUUGUUCUUUUCUAAAAGAUGGUACUCAAUGUGCCUCGCCAGUGUGGUCUUACCAACUCCACCCAUACCAUAAAUCCCAAUGCUUGAUAUAUCAUCGGCCACCAAGCAUGGCCAAAUUCUCUUCAAAGCUUCAUCGAACUUUACUCCAAACAAUUUGGUUGGCAGGCAUGGCUCCCCGAUGUUGUCACAAGUAUCGAGCACAAGCCCAUCGAAACGACGGCUCUGAUCAACAAGGUCUUUCACCUGAAAUUGCAGCUUUCCUACAGGAUCCUCCUUUAGUGGAAGCCUCCAAGAUGAUCCUCUUGUUUCCAAUGCAUCAAUUUCAGGACUUAACUUUUUAACGUCCUUCAACCAAUUGUCAACUUCACUUUUCCUUUUCUUUUUACCUGACAUUUCUUCCCUAUUGACUUCUUGUUCUACGUCAAAUGCUUUGCAACUCAAUUCUUGCCAAUUCCUUUUUAGCGAUUGCACGUUGUCCAUGUGACUCCUUCCCGUGCAAUUUUCUAAUGCGAACUCCACCGUCUUUUCUAUCACCUUUUCCCCCGUCUUUUCUGCCAGAGCUUUUCCCCAAAAUGGUAGCAUCUAGAAUUUAAAUAUAUAUCAAGCUUAGGUGCAUAAAGCAAAUUGAAGCAAAUCCGAAAAUUAAAAUUGAAGAGAAACAUCAAAAGUUGCCAACGGAACUUAGUCAACACAUAGUUUAGUAAAGAUUAAUAACCAGAAAAAGAAAAUGUUUUUCACUCAAUUCAAUAAUUGUUCAGCUAUUAGCUAAUCUCGAAUUCUUCUGACUGAAUAGUUCAUUCAAUAUUUGGAGAAAUGACAAAAAUUCUGAAGAUUGAUUUUGAAAAACUUAGAAUAAAAACUUGAUUUUUGAAGCACUAAAGAAGAAAAACUUGAUUUUUGAAGCACUAAUUUGGUAGAAAGAAGACCGUAUAAACAUGAAGUUGUCCUAUUAUGCUGAUUCAAUUAAGCAUUUUAGUAAAUGAAACUGAUAUGCAUCUUUUUUUCAUAACAAAAAAAUUGAUAUGCAUUUGAUGUAAGAAAACUUUUAUAAAAAUUUAAGAUUUUACGUAAAAACUACUAAGUUAUAAGAUUAUGGCCAAGAUCCGUAUAUGUUUCCACACUUAACAGAGCCGACGGAUUUGAAUAUCAAUUUACUCCUAUUGAUCCAUCCUGUGCCCGGGUCUAGUUUGGUUAGUAUUAGUUAGGUAAGAAAUGUCAAUUAUGUAAAAAGCUUGAACAGAGCACCUUGUGCGUUGAGAGAAGAACAAGUGACCAAGAUAUUUGGGCCUCACAAAUCUAACUAUAAACAUGAUGAAAUGAGAAACAACUACAAAAAUUUACAGAUUCAAGAUCAAAAGUGAUAUUUUUCAAAAAAACAAGUUAUCAUUGUACCUUGAAAUUAGAACAAGUUAUCUUGAAGAUUUGAAGAAGUUGAGAAUCCCUGGACUCUGCCAAAAGACAAAAAAUUUGUAUUAUAUUUUAAUCUCGCUUUCGCUACUACAAGAACUAUAAUCGUUGAGUUUUGAUGAAUGAAUUAUAAUUGAAUCAAGAUGUUGAUGCCAAACAAAGCUAUUAUAACUAAAUUCAGAAGAACUCCAAAAGUUACUAAAUUCAGAUGGAUAUGAUCUCAUUAUACCUGAAACUGACUAGAAAACUUGAGGAAGCUGAAAACCUUGAGACUCUGCCAAGAUUAUGUCUUAUGAUUGUUGCGUGUUGAGGAAAGGAUCUAGAUUCAAUAGAAUUAGCCGGAUCUGGGAGUGGAUCAAACCAUUAUGGUUCACAUUUUAUCUUCUCCAAAAGUUGAUAAGAAUUUGCCCAACAACGCCAAAAAUGUAAAAAGCAUGAAGAGAGCAAUCCAUGUCGAAAGAAAAGGAACUGAUGUAUGAUUUUUGUGCUUCGUAAAGCUAUUUAAGAUCCAUUAUGCAUGAUAUCAUUUACCUUGAAAUCUUGGACAAGCAAAAUUCUCAGGCCAGGUUAUCUUGGAGACGAUGAGAACCACAAGACCCUGGCAAUAGAUGCAAAAGUGUGUAUUAUAUUUUCGUUAGUUUUCACUGCUAAGAAGCAACUCCAAAAAUAUCGAAUUAAGACUCCAACAAUUGAACUAAGAUUUCUGUGCCAAGUAAAGCAAUUAUGUACUUGAUGAGAUAAGAAACAACUCCGACAAUUACAAAAUUGUGAUGGAUAUGAUCUCACUGUACCUGAAAUUUUUACAAGCAAGCUUGAGGAGGCUGAAAAUCUUGAUACUGCCAAAGGUAUGUACUUUUUUAUGUUUUUCUUUUAAUUUUGUACGAGUAUGAUUGUUGAAUUUUGAGGAAUCAAUGAUAAAAGUUGAACUAAUAGGAGACCACGUGUGAUUUAAAGACUUGAGCAUUACAACAUCUAAGUCAAGGUCUUCCUUCCCAGUUCAUACCAUACUGCCAUUUUGAAGACUUAGGGUCUGUUUGGUUGGAAGUAAAAUGUUUUUCUUGGGAAAAUAUUUUCCGUGGAAGUAAUUUUCCAUGAAAAUUAUUUCCCUUUCAUCAUUUUUAGGUGUUUGAUUAGCUUAUUGAAAAUAUUUUCUUACUUCAUUUUUCUGGUGUUUGUUUAACUUUUGAAAUAUUUUCACUUUUAUCUCUAUAUUUACUUUCUACACAUUAUAACUACAUACUUCUUCCCAUGCAAAAUAAGAAAAUUUAUCUCAUUGUUUAACUUUAAAAAAUCAUGGAGAAAUGUAUAUAUGAAUAAAAAAUAUCUCCUUAAGCAAUAAACAAAUUGCUGGCCAUUUAGUGUCAAAUAUCAAUCACAUGCAAUGCUUAUUGUGACAUAUAUCUUGCACUCUCACUACUGAAAGUUUCUCUAAAAAAGAAUGUCCCUAUUAUACAUAAUUAAUUACUAGCAUAGGAUGAGCAGGAUGAUGUUUUUUUUUUUUAAUUUUGAAUAUACUAGGGGGAGGGUUGGGUGGUACGGAAGAGGGAGUGUAAGGAAGAGGUCUUGGAUUCGAGUCCUUCUGUUUCCUUCUGUUUACACUAAAAAAAAAAAAAGAAAAAGAACAUAUUACAAGAUGUUUUCAGUAAGUUUGGAACAUACUACAGGCGGGAUGCAUGCAUUUCGGAAAACAACUUCAGUAAAUUUGGAAGGGAAGUUGUUUUCCAUAAGAUGAGUGAAAAUAUUUUAUAUAGGAAAAUGCUUUCAGUAACUUUUGUGCAACCAAACACGGGAAAUUAGGAAAAUAUUUUCCUGGAAAACAUUUUCACCCGAAACAAAUGGACCCUUAAUGAAAGCUCCUUAAGGAAGUAGGGGACAUUUCCAGGAAGUAGGGGACAUUUCCAGGAAAUGGUGCGGCAAGGACUUUGAUGACUAAAGGGAAGAAUUUCUGACCCUUGAAAAAGGGGAAGUAAACUGCAUAUCAAUUGCAGCCAGAAUUUCUGAGAAGGAGCUGUUGAAGUGCAUAGUUGUUUCACAGUUUGUUUUCGGUAGGUUCUGAGUAACUUUUAAAGGCAGGAUGGAUGCUAAUGUAAUUGCUCCUGGAAAGUGCAUAACAGUUGCAGGAUAGGCUUUUUUUUCUUCAGUGCAAUUGUUCCUGUCAAACUAUUGAAGUGAAAUUAUCGAGUAUUUUCUUUAAGUUAGAUUUUUUUCUGUGUAUACAUCAACAUUAAAUGGAUAGUUUAAAUUAAACCUACUCCUUUUUUUUCUUUUUUUAAGAAAAAGUUUUAAACUCAGAAUCUUUUAAUUACUUAUAAUUCCUUGAUCCUCCAUUAAACCAUUAUUAGACGUCCACAAAUUAUUUUAAUCAAAAGUGGUUACUCAGAAGCAGCUGUGGAGAUAUUUGCAGAUGAUUUGCUUUUCACUUUUUAUCAUUCUUUUUUACAUUUUCUUACAGAAAGUAAGAAUUUCGGAAAUAAACCUAACUCCCAACAGUACCUCCAAAAGCCGGCAACUUUUGAAGGCUGCUGGGGACUUAUAACCCAAACCCCAACCCCCCCUAAUACCGAUGUGGGAACUAACAAUCCCCACAGGGGUGCCCCGCUGCUAAGAUCUAAAGAGACCCCAGACACCCACUGACACAGGAAUUUGUUCUUUCUUACAUUUUCUUACAGAAAGUAAGAAUUUCGGAAAUAAACCUAACUCACUUUUUAUCAUUCCACCCUCUCCACUAUUAGUAGAGGCCUAGAGGGCCACCACCGAAAGGGCAAAGACUUCGCCUUUGACGUUGCCGACGACGACAUUGUCGGGAGGAAAGUCCAUGAAGCUGCAUGCGGGGAUGCUUGAAGUGGGGAGUCUUCCCCGUGUCUACCCCUGCAAGUGCUCCGUGGCCCGUGGGGGGCCACUUCUAUUUUUAUUUGACUUUAUUUAUAUAUGUAUAAUAUGCAUGAUCGGGUUUGUUCGGAUAGAGAAUUAUUAGCCAAAAUUUAUUUGUUUACAUCAUCAUUACAAUUUCCAACACACAUUUUUAUCUUUCCAAUUACCUUUUUAUCUCACAUACAUCACAUCACAACAAAUGCUACAGUAAAAAUAUCUCAAAUAAUUUACAAUCCAAACAGAGCCUAAAUUUACUAAACAUUCUUCUGAAUUUUUAACCAAAAAUUCAACUUGAAACACAAUUUAAAAAUUAUUUUGAUCUUCGUAAAUUCAUUUCUUCAUAUAUAUAUAUAUAUAUAUAUAUAUAUAUAUAUAUAUAUAUAUAUCAUUUAAAUUAUUGAUAGGAUGGAGUGCGAGGUUUCCUUCCCCAUCCCUCACUCCAUUUAAAGUUGGGGGGCAAAAAUGCCCCCUCUUUUCUUCUCUCUUGCCCCCUCUCCGUGCAGCUCCAAUUCUUGUUGCCCUCAUCGCUAUCUUUAAAAUUGUUACGUAAAAUUAGAGUGAAAUAAUUGGCAUCUUGUGGGUGAUUAUUUUGCAAAGUAAACACUAGUAUUUGUGUCCCUGAAACUAGUUUAACCGGUAGAAACAUUAGUCAAGUAAUGAUCAGUUAAAGAUUAGAUUGAAAAUCUUCUCAGGCUCCCCUUUCUCUCCUGCCUUCUUCCUCUUUAUGGGAUUUAGUGUCUUCCUUUGAAUUAAAAAAAAAAUACUAAUAUUUGUAAGGUAUCCAUUAAUAGUCAAGGUUUCCUUACCUAUUUUAUGCCAAGUUAUUGGAAAAGUAUGAUUCUAAUUUUUUUCCUUUUUCUUUUUAUAAUGCAGUUGCUACUUUAAUCAAGACUCAAAACUUGACAGUUAAUAUCCUCACGUCCAACUUUCCUUGUAAAUCCCAGGUUCAACCGUUCAACUAUUACAUAGAUACAUGUGCAUAACUAUUUUGCUUUUUGCUUUUUGUUAUUUUGACAAAAAUAUAGGUGCAUGUCUGUGACUCUCUCUUGAGCCUGAUGUUGAAAAUUUUAGCAUUACUGAAACAUGUAGGUGGACAAAUUUUGCUUAUUCCUCUGAUUUUGAGUUGAUGCCAACCAACACAAAAGGAAUAAGAAUCUACUUUUCCAAGGAGCAACGGAGUCCACUCACUAGCAAUCAUUAUACGUGGAAACCACUUACAAAAACCAGCUUAAAAGUCACGGCAUUUUUUUCUUUUAAUUUAUAAUUAUCGCUUGUCGUAUUGUUGUUUAAUAUUGCUGGUGGACGGGGGUGUUUUCUUCGGGAGGAGGAUCAUUUCGACAAGUUGAAGGGGCAUUAGAAGAAAUGAGAAAUUUUUUUCUGGCUGCAAGGAAAUUGGAGAUUUAUUUUAACAGACUUGUAGAUUUUGUUUGUGACAAUAGGAUGCGGCUUUAUUCUUCUUCUGAAUUAGAUCAGGCAUUGAUAAAUUUUGAUGUGGUACUUCUACUUGUUUCUUUCUCUAAUUACAACAAUAGGCAUUAAAGAUUUUGUUGAUAACACGUCUCUGUUGCGAAAGCAGAGAGUGCUUUACCACUUGCCAGGCACUAGACUGUGCUGCCUGCUUUGAUUUCGUAAUGUGAUUCCUGAAUUCUAUAUAACCUCCCUCGUGUGAACAGAUCCACAAUGAGAAUCUCAUUUUCAUGUAGCUAUUUUCUUCAAGUUUCAACAGAAGUUAGUGGAACAAGAAUCAAAUAGUUCCUGAGGGUCAUAUUGUCUGAAAUUUGGACUUACCUAGCUCUGUUCCAUCAAUACCAAUCUUUGGCUUUUCUUUACCCAAAAAAAUGCUCCAUUCGUUGAGAUGACUAUAAAUGCUCUUAGGAAGUAGGUAAGUAAUGCUAAUCAUAGCCAUCUAAAUUUUUUUUUUCAAUAUUGAUUUAAAAUGCAGCCCAGACGCGUCCCUUGAAUCCGAAAGGGAUCUAAAACUACUUGAGAUCUGAACAAACAAAACCUGGAUUAGGCUCAAACUAACUUUGUUGUGGUGUGCAGAGUCCGAAUUAGGUGCAAAAAGUAGGCACUUUGACACUUUAAUUUUUAAAUAAGUAUAAUUUCAACAUUUUUUAAAGUUUCGUUACGAGUAAUCAUUUCCGUCAUUUUGAUACUUUAAUUCAAAUUAUAAGGGAAUUCUAUAUAACUUUUGAAAUUAUAAAAGAAUUAUGUAAAAAAAAAUACUAAAUUAUAAAAGGGAUAAAAAGUAAUUUGUCCAAAAAUGAAUGAAUUCCUUCGCGACUAAGGAUUCGAAUCGGUUCAUGCAGAGGGAAAAGAUGUGCAAAAUGAAACAAUGGCCCGCCUAUUGUCGACUAACUCCUUUGGCUCUAGCAUCUAUUCUCAAAAGUCUUCACUUCCGCGUAAAGGGAUGUAUAACAAAAGCGGGACAUGGAUGGGUAUAAUUUUGGCAAGUUUUGUCCGGUUGUGGUAUUCAAUAUACGAUGUACCAUCACAUUUUGUAUGUUGUUGUAUUUAAUAUAUGUGCAAUAUGUUAUUUAUGUACACUAACUUUUUUCCAAAGUAUUAACAAUAUAUUAUGAUUGUAUAGCAAAUAAUAUAACAGAUAUAAUAAAUGUUAAAAGCUGGAUAAAAAGACAACCGUAUUUGCCCCAAUUCCACUAAUAUCUAUUGCCCUAUUAGCAGAGUAGUAGUAAUAAUAAGGAAGAAUACUUGAUCGUUAACUUUGACUAGAAUGAAAUUCAAGGAAAGUGGCAAGGAAACUUCUUUAAAAUUUCGAGACCGAAGUUAUUUAGGGUUCACUUCGAUAAUAUGUUUUUUGAGUGUAUUUUACAAAGUUUGUUGUAACAAACUACAGUUAUUUUAUGUCAAUAUUAGAAAAAGAAAUGCUGAUGUUUAUUUAAAAUAUCCUAUUUUUUCAAUCCCCUUCCCCCCUCCCCCGCCACCCACAAAUGGCAGUCUUUACCACACACCACUAGUAUCCUACUUAAUGUGUAUUUUUUUUUGUAUUUUUGAAAACUUUUGGAUGCUUUAAAAUAUUAGCAUGAUUGAUAUUUUAAACAAGUUUUUUUUUUAUUUUUGGUUAGAAUAGGCCAUCCAAAUAAUAGAGGCCCAGCACCGGAAUGGAAAUGACUUGGCCGUUGACAACGACGACUCAAGGAAACUUCCAGGAAAUUGCGAGGAAGGCUUUCCGAAAUGCCGAACUGGAAAUUGAGUAAAACUUUUACAUCUCCCGGUGUCAUUAUUGGCAAAGUAAAUAGUUUGGUGUGGUAAUAAAACUAAUACUUGAGCAAAUAAAAGACAUGGACAUGUCUUGAAUUUUUUCAAUUUAAGUUCCAGUACUCUUUUAUGGUUUGUACUUCAUACCAUUUUGGAAAAAUAUUUCCUCACCUCACCUACACCAAGUUCUUGGAAAAAUAUAAAAUUUGGAUUGCUAUUUUCUGAAAUUUUUAUAAAAAAUAUAUAUUUUAAGAAUUUAAUACAUAUAAAAUAAAAAAGUAAGUGAGAAAUGUGUUCAUAAAAAUAUAAAAUUUUUUUAUAAAAACAAAUGACAAUCCAAACAAGACGUCUUUUGAUAAAAUACAACAUUCAUGCCUUCAACCACUACAUAGAUAGAGGUGCAUAUUUAUCUUACAACCCCAUAGCAAAAUUUUGGUGAAGUAAUUCUUUUUUUUUAUUAUUUACUAGAGCAUAUCAGUAAACAAUCAUAAAAAGAAGAAAACAAAUAACAUCAUACUAAUUAUUACCAAUCAAAGACUAAAAAGAUUUUCAUAAAUGAAGUUAACUAUUUCAUUUAAUUUUAUGUCUCAGGUUUCACCUCAACUCUUUCCUCUUGCUGAAACUUUCGCAGAGUCAUCAAAAGACAAAAGUAACCAAAAAAAAAAAUAUCUGCAUAUCUCUUGAAGGAGAUCUGACCCUACUUGGAUGUUCAUCCAAAUAACAGUCCCAUUAAUUUUAUCAUCAAUAGAAGUUUCUCCAACUUGAUUUUUGGGGCUUUUCAUUCUCCUGUUUUUUCAAGCAGAAGUCCAUUAAAAUGCGGAUGUUGCUGCAGUAUGUUUAGUAAUCAAAGAAGACGUGUGGAAAGUAAAGCAUAUGGCAAAGAAGCAGGCACGUGGAAAGGUAAAGAAUAUGUCAAAGAAACUGACAUGUACGGAUCAAGAAGGGUUAUUUUUACAAAAGUAAGUGGUGACCUAUAACCGGGAUUUGGAAAUGUUGCGUACUGCAGAAGCUAAAAGUGUGUUGGGAUGUCACGGAAUUAACAUAAAUAUAAAGGGCCUAAGAAUAAAACAUUUGUGAAGAAGCGUAAGCAGUACUAAUUACUAAACAAAGCCAUCCUGGGGCCACCGAUUAUGGGCAUUACAUCAACAAAAUACUAUCUAUUUAUUGGCAUUUUACUCUGAAUCAUUAUAUUUAUGUAAAAUACAUAAAUAUUUUGGAUAGCACGGAUAUUCACACUAGCUAUCCUUGUACUAAAUUUUAUGAGCAUUUUACUCUAAAUCAUUACAUUUUGGAUACUACUUUGAUUAGAAUUUAGUUUAAAGACAUUCACUGGAGUUUGGACGCAUCCAAAGAGCACCGAUCGAUGUAUGUUCAAGCGUAAAUUGAAAUAAUAUAUGCAACUUAAAUUUUUUAAAAAUAAAUUACUACUGCAUAUCAGAAAUUUACUUUUUGGAGAGUAGGUUUAGUUCAUACUAUUUUUCAUAGUAUUUUAAAAUAUAUAAGUACAACAAAUUUUAAAUUAUACCUAUAAUAAUGUAUUAUACGAAUAUAUUAUGAGUACUUACUAACUAAGGUACUAAGUUUUAAUCAUUGAUAAAACAUCUUAUCGUUAUUUCAAAUAAACUUCCUAAUAUUAGUUUGAAAUAAGUUUUAAAGUAAAAUAAUACAUGCGUCCCAUAAAUCAAUAAAUCUUGAUUAUUAAUCAAAUUUGCUAUGUUAUCAGUAAUAAUUACUAUUUAUGUAUAAAAACUUACUAUUACUUGAAUUAAACUUACUAAGGUAUAUUAUGAGUGCUUACUAACUAAGGUACUAAGUUUUAAUCAUUAAUAAAAACAUCUUAUCAUUAUUUCAAAUAAGCUUUCUAAUACUACUUUGAGAUAAGGUUUUAAUGUAAAAAUUGUACAUGCAUUCCAAAAAAUGGUAAAUUUUGAUCCUUAAUCAUUUUUAUUGCCAUGUUAUUAGUAAGAAUUACUAUUGAUGUAUAAAAACUUACUGUUAUUUGAACUAAACUUACUCUUUUAAAAGUAAGUUUGGGAUAUCAAGUAGUAAUCUAUUUAUUUAAAAAUUAAGUUUAAUAUUUAUUCCAAUUUACCUUUUGAGGUAUAAAAGUUACUAAUCUAUUACACUUAACUUACUAUUUUAGAUAGGAAACUUACUUCCAUAAUUUUAGGUGUUAUUUUAUUUAGGCGAAUAUGUCCAACAAUAAAUCAAAUGAUCGCUAAAAGUGUAACAACGUGUUAUAUCAGGUAAAAACUAUUGCGCUAUCAUAACUAUCGCUUAGUAUCUAUAUCUAAAUGUAUUGCUGAGGGGGUUUUAGAUAAGGAGCUUUCAAAAUUAUCAAAAGUCUGAAUGCUAUUUUAAUAGAAUUUUACAUUUUUUAAUUAAAAAAUAUUUAUCUCUUAACUAAUCAUGUAACCGGCCCUACAAAUCCUAUAAUCAUACUUAUAUUUUUUCCACAUUUCCCUUAUGUUUUUUCCACUACCCCAUAAAAUUCAAACUCCUAAACUUUAACUAACGGAUAAUAACCACCCCUGUAAAAUGAUAUUUGCAAAUUCCAAUUCACAUCUCACAUUUAUUACUGACACUUACCAUAUCACUUAGAGUAAUAACUAACCGUUAAUUUAAGAAAUUCGCAACUACGAAAGUCAAAUAUCCAAAAUUUAGGAGCCUGUUUAAAUUACAAUUUUCACAAUUCAACGUAUCUUAUUGUCAUAAUAUAUUUUACUCUCACAAUCAUUCACAAAUUAUAAAGGCAUUAAAAAUAAAUAAUUUUUUUAAUAAAAAUUAAUUCAAAGGUAGUUAAUUCACACACACACACAUAUAUACAUACAUAUAUAUAUAUUCUCAUAAUGCAUAUAUAUAUAAGAUUAUCAAAUCGAAUGCAUAAUAUUGGUAAGUAUUUCAUUUUAAAAUAAAAAAAAAUGCAAUUACAUUUAUUUCUAUCCAUAUAUCAUUCAUUUUCUAAUAUAAAUUAUUAUUAUUAUUUUAAGAUCCAUCUUUUGCAAAAACACAAUUCUUGAAUGAUUUACAGUUUUUGUCAUAUUUUGAACUAUUGUUAGACAAAUCUUAAAUUUUAAUUAUGUUGGUAUAAUUUUUUUAACUUUUUUCAAAUUAAAAUGGUAUAAUUUUUUAAUUUAUUUUAAUAAUGUAAGUACCGUGCGUAGCACGGAUAUUCACACUAGUUGUCUUUGUAUGACCGAGCCUGAGAGUUUGAGCAUGUUUUGGUUGAAUGUUAUAAUUCAAAAUUUGGGGUUUGGAGGGAAUAUGUUAUAUCCAUUGUAAUCAAAACUCAAAUAAAAGUGGGGAUAAGCCUGGUUGUCACAACGAACUAUAUAAAGUGGAUUUUUUUAUUUAUUUGCAGAAUGCUAUCUUAUUUUUUCAUGCAUCAGAAUGGAUUGAUUACAAGUUGCAUUUGCUUGCCUUUUGCUAGAAUUUUGGCUAAUUAACAAAUUAUACUAAUUGUAGAAUAGUAAGUUUGUAAUCAUUUUCAAUUUUUGAAAAAUUUAAAAGUUUAGAUAACAAUAACAACAAAUCUUCCUAGUUACAUGUAGAAUAUCACUUGUUUCUAUAUCACAAUUUUUAUAACUUAAAACCUAUGAAUAUAAUAAGAUAAAAUUAUUAUUUUAUAAUACGAUAAAAUUUUAUUAUUUUCUAAGGUUAUGUGAAAGGUCAAAAUAUUUUUCACAAAAUAUUUUAAAAUAUAUAAGUACAAAAGAAUAUUAAAUUAUACAUAUAAUCAUGCAUUAUACAAGUAUGUUACAAGUACUUACUAACUAAUGUACUAAAUUUUAAUCAUUUAUAGAAUAUUUUUAUUGUUAUUUCAAAUAAGCUUCCUAGUAUUCAUUUGGUAUAAGCCAUAAAGGAUUGAGUAAUUUGAGUCAGUUGCUUCUGUGUUAAUUUUGACUGUGGUUAACAAACUCAAUGAUUUAGUCCGUCUAACAUAGGUUAAUGGGAAAAUGGGUCACAGUUGGCUGGAAUAAAAUUGUAAUAAACCCGUUUUUCAAUAAAAAAAUAAACUCUUUAUGACUUUUCUCUAUUAUAAGAACAGAGUACCCAUUUUCUAAAAAAAAUUAUUUAUUAGAUAAAAUAAAAAUAAACCCAUUUUUCAAUAAAAUCCUAACUCUUUAUGCCUUUCCUCUAUUAUAAGAACCGUGUACCGAUUUUGCCAUAAACAAAUUUAUUUAUCGGAUAAAAAAAAUUUAUUUAUCGAAAAAAAAAUGAACCCGUUUCUCAAUAAAACAUCAGCUCUUUAUGGCUUCCCUCCCUUAUAAGAAAAGAGUAUCCAUUUUGCCAUAAACAUCGAAUAAAAUAAAAAUAAACUCUUUUUUCAAUAAAAAACCAGUUCUUUAUGACUUUCCUCAAUUAUAAGAAUAUAGUACCCAUUUUUCUAAAAAGAAAAAUAUCAUUUAUCGAAUAAAAUAAAAAUGAACCCGUUUUUCAAUAAAACACAAGUUCUUUAUAGUUUUCAUCUAUUAUAAGAACAGAGUACCCAUUUUUUCAUAAAUAAAUUUAUUUAUCGGAUGAAAAACUAAAUAUAUUUUUCAAUAAAACACCAGUUUUUUAUGGUUUUCCUCCCUUCACUACAACAAAAAAGGGUAUUAGCGACAACAACUUUAGGAAGAAAUAGAAAGCUUGACGCUCUUAAGAGGCUUAUAGCAAGGAAAAGGACAAUACCUCACCAAAAAUUGGAGCCAUCAUAUACUCUGCGAGGGCAACGACUUUUCUCGCUUAAAAUUCUCGCAAAAAAAGAGAGCGGGAAAGCUUCCCUCCAAAUACUAAUUCUAGUGGGCCAAAGUUUCUAUGUUAUUGGUGAGAAAUCAUGGGUGCUUUUUUGUGAAAAUUUCAAAAUUUUGCGCCCUUCCAAUUUUUAGCAGAGCCGCGGGAAAAUUUUUUAAUCAUUCCCGGCAUAGCACUUGUCAAGCCUAGCACCACAUGAAUUCCAAGCCUUCCAUACUUGCAAGGCUACUUUCCCAAAUAUUUGUUCUCAGAUCAGAGCGCUCGAAAGUUCAAUCGCAACCUCCUCUGCACCUUUCUCCUUCUAUCUCUCUUUCCCUCUCUAUUAAUUUUCAGUUUUCCAUAGACAUAUGGUUCCUCUCUUCCUCUCUAUCAUCUAGAUCUGAAUUUAUACAAUCAUGGACACACUUUAAAGACCCUUCCGAUGCAAUGGCAGACUUCAAGGAAAAGCGAUGGUGUAGGUUUUAUAAUAUGUUAUUUUCAUCUCUGUUUUGUCAAUUGCCUUUUUCUUGCAUUUUUGGUCAAUUUAACAAUCGCAAGAAAAACUUUUUGAAAUUGUAGACUUCUACUUCAGUGGAUUAGAGUGAAAUGCUUAUCUCAGUUGGAGUAGAGAAAUGGGUCUUACUGGAAGGCAAAAUGAAAACGGCCCGUCAAAAUUGGAUCUUGAACAUCUAUCAGUUUUUAGGAGUUUGUGUGAAUUUUGGGUUUUUUUUUCCUGAUUUUAUUCUAUGUGGUCUUGUCUGUAUGAUUGGAAAGUUCAAUUUCUGAUGUACUUUCAGGGGAGUUUGGCUGUAGCAGCAGGGAAGUGGGGAAGUGGGUGGCUUUCAGGUGGCACCGCCGGCUCAGUAUAACCCAUUAGACGAGCCGAGUCCAUUGGGAUUGAGGCUGAGGAAAAGUCCUUCCCUUUUGGAAUUGAUCCAAAUGAGGCUUUCUCAAGCUAAUUCACCUAAGGGUGCAAGUUCCAGUAAAAAAGAGCUUAAAGGGGCCGCUGCUUCUGGUUCCUCUGAGAAGCUCAAGGCUUCAAAUUUUCCAGCAACUAUUCUGCGAAUUGGGACCUGGGAGGUAUAUUUAUACAUUUGCAUUGGAUCAUGGAUUUUAGAAGCUUGUUUUAUUGGAUUGCUUAUGAUUUCGUUAAUUUUGAUUGCAUGUCUUUGUUCUAAUUUCUAGUAUAAGUCAAGAUAUGAAGGGGAUUUGGUAGCAAAGUGUUAUUUUGCAAAGCAUAAGCUUGUACGGGAGGUUCUUGAUGGCGGGCUCAAGAAUAAGAUUGAAAUUCAAUGGUCUGAUAUAAUGGCUUUGAAGGCGAAUUAUCCUGAUGACGGACCGGGGACUUUGGAUGUAGUGGUAUUAGCAACACUUACUGUGUCUUUGUUAAUUACUUUGUAUGUCGUUAUUAUGAAUUUUUUAUAGUGAAAACAUGUUUUUUUCUUUUUAAUGGUGUAGCUUGCAGGACAACCUCUUUUCUUUAGGGAGACAACUCCCUAAAAUCACCUCUGAAUUCUGAAUUCUCUGACCAUCUGACUUCCUUCACCGCAAUUUCUUAAUGCUUUUAAUCUCUCUUCACUGACAACUCACUCACAAGCCUCGCCUUACAUAUCUGUCCCGAAUUUGCCAGAAGACAUACUGACCCAUUCAUUUUCUUCCUCCCCACCCUUUGGCCUUCACCGAAGGAAUCCAAGGAAAUCUUUCUUUGAGAACAAAAUUCUUAGAGAAGGGGAAAAAAAGGGAUGAGGGACUGCAAGAUUUUUUGUUCUCUCAUUAGCAGUUGCAUUCUUCUUGUUUCUGUUCUCAAUGGAGCAAAUGCUGAUAACCCAUAUAGGUUCUACACUUGGAAAAUCACUUAUGGUGAUAUAUACCCAUUGGGUGUCAAACAACGGGUAAUGUAUAUGCACCAAAACAUGUUUUUAUGUUGUUAAUGACUUGUACUAUGAUAUGCAUGUGGCAAUGUGUUUCUUGAAUUUGCUCGAAUUUUUGGGUGGUUAAGAGUCGGAAGUGUAUAUGCUGCAGGGAAUCUUGAUAAAUGGGCAGUUUCUAGGGCCACACAUUGACUGUGUCACCGAUGAUAACUUGAUUAUCAGUGUUUACAACUACUUGAACGAGCCUUUCCUUAUUUCUUGGUAAGUUUUUCACAGUAAUCUCAAAGAACUCUUUCUCUUAAUUACUACUGAAGGAUAAUGGGGGAUGUUGCAGUUUGUAUGGAGUAAAAUGUGCAAUGUUUCCCCUGCAACAAUGGCGAUCUGCUUGGCUAUUUUCCUUUUUUUUUUGUCUUUAACUUUCAUAUAUUUUUCUGCACAAAGAUUGCAAAUUGUGCUCAAUGAAGAUGAUGACACUCUCAAAUGUUGAGGUGUUAAUUGUAAUUAAUAUCAGAAUGUGACGGAGCUCGAUUUAAUAAGGACUAGUAGUGCAAAAAGAAAGCAACUUUAUGACCGAAUUGGUAAGCCAAGCCUUGGAAGUAUGGUCGGGCAUACUGCUAUUGGCCCAGUGGGGCUCGUUCUGGUUAGCCUUUACUUCCCAGUUCCCACACAUUUGGUCUGAAAAUGGUGGUCCACGUAACUAGAUGUUAUUUUCUGACUAUUGUUUCUACAAUUAAUUAUUUUUACAGUGAAGUUAACUCGAGGAAGUUUUCUACGAUUUUAUGGACAACUGUACACUCUGCACAUGCUGGAUCUCCAGAUCUCGGACAUAUACCACAUUUUCUUUCUGUUAUUUGCUUAUCAGUGUAUGGUUGAGCAAUAUAAAUUAUGCCAUGAAGUGUUCCAUAUGUCUAUCGUCUAAAGGCAAUAUUACAGUUGACUAUGUAUGCCCAUUAGAGUCAUGGGGAGUGGGACGCAUCACAUAUGCUUGAUAAUAUCAUUAAACAUUAGGGUAUCAUACCUCAUUUGUCUUGUUGCUCUGGUGAGGAUAAGUUGUAGUUUAACAUCAUCAUCCUUACUGGAUGUAUUCCAUUCUAUAUUGCUACAAAGUGAGAUCUUUGCCUGUUGGAAGGGGCUUCUUGGCUGUGAAACCAUGUCAAUAUUUAAUUGCUAACUGACAAAAACAACAUUUCUUUCCUUCUUCUUCUUUUUUACUUUUUUUUCAUCUCGUUCACUCUCUGCUUUACCUCUAAUCCUGAUAUUACAUUCUUUUGUUAAGUAUGGCUUUAAUUUCUUUUUCAUGGAAACAUGAAUAACUUGAAUGGUAAUCUAAGAUAUGUCGAUAUUGAUGUGUUGACUAGCUUGGCAGUGUUACAAUUAUUUAAGUGACAGUUUUUUCUUUUCGUUGUUUUGCUCAAUCUCUGGAGACUAAGUGCAAUACAACAAUGGUCUGACUCACCGUUGAUUGGCAUUUUUUCUGGGAUUUCUGGCAGGCAUCAUUUUCUGCAGUGUCCACAAGGCUUGUUGGGAAAGCAUUUCGAAAAGCUUAUUCAAUGUGAUCCUCGUCUUAACUUCCUGAGUAAAUAAGGAGAGAUAACGUUGGAUUCUCCAUAUUUUGAACUCAGAAUCUCUGUGUUUGAUGACCCAAGUGAAAACAAAGCUGCAUUUGAUUUGAACAAUCAUGAGAGUCCCACUGUCUUCAACUUGAGGGGAUGCAGCAUCACCAUCAGGUGGUCAAUCAUCAUCUUCGAGGAAUGAACAAGACAUUGUUAGUAGACCUCGAGAAGACAUGAAACACCAUCACCCAGCUCAGGUAACCGGUCCUUUUAAUAGUCUUGAACCAAAAUUUGAUAUUCACUAAAAGUUUCUGACCAACAGAAAUGUAAAAUGUCAUUUUCAUUUGAUUUAUAAUCUGUACAGAGUAUUUCUUUUCCUCCAAGGAGGUUUAUAUAUGUAGUCGCGUCUCUCUAGUAGUAUUUGACUCUGUGUUUUGGUUUAUUCAGUAAUGGAUACGCAUGUAAUUGAAGAAAUAAAAAUGGUGGAGGAGAACAAACAUGAUAUGGUUAUGAAGCUCUCACAAGCUACUUCGAUUAUGGACUUCGCCAAUUAAUGCAAACAUGAUACUCAUUGUAUAUUGGCACAGGGUCUAUCUUAGCAUUUGUUAUCCCUAGCAAUUUUGGUUGUACAUAUUAAAGCCCAAUUAGAAUUUGAUUUGAGUAUCUUUGUGCUUUGUACUGUUGAUAGUAUUGGUUGUAAUAUAUUAUUGCUCGUUUUGUAUUUGUAAUGACAAAUUGGUUUGUUAUUUCGUAUACAAAUUUUGCUAUAUCUCAAUAUUGACAUUAAUGAUACCUCUUGCUAAAAAAAUGGUUGAAAAAAAAAGUAGCAACUACAGUCACAAAGCUGCUUUCGGCAACUUUCUUGCAAGAAAAUCAUUUAGCUGCAUUUGAUCGUCUUUGGUAAAGGGUCGAUGGUUUUCAAUAAAAUACCAGCUCUUUGUGACUUUCCUUCAUAAAUUUUCUAUUUUUCCUUUUUUCACUGAAAUACUUUAUUACUUGGAUAAAAUCAGAAACUCCAUUAUAAGAAAAGGUUUGGAGGGAAUAAGUUGUAAGCAAUUCAUGACAAUUACCGCCUCUACACACAUGUGAAGGAACAGGGGCUAUGACAAUUUGCUAUAUGUACUGUGCAAAUCUUAUCCCAUUGAAAAUCACAUUGAGAGGUGGGCCAGCAUUUUGCUAUAUCUCAAUAUUGACAUUAAUGAGUUUAUUUUUAUUUUAUCCGAUAAACAAAUUCCUUUUUGCCUUCAAAAUGAGUACUCUAUUCUUAUAAUAGACGAAAAUCAUAAAGAGCUGAUAUUUUAUUGAAAAAAUGGGUUUAUUUUUAUUUUAUCUGAUAAAUAAAUUUGUCUGAGAAAAAAUGGGUACUCUAUUCUUAAAAUGGAGGAAAGUCAUAAAGAGCUGAUCUUUUAUUAUAAAACGGCUUUAUUUUUAUUUUAUCCGAUAAAUAAAUUUAUUUAUGAAAAAAUGGGUACUCUAUUUUUAUAAUGGAGGAAAGCUAUAAAAAGUUGGUCUUAUAAUGAAAAAUAGAUUUAUUUUUAUUUUAUCUGAUAAAUAAAUUUGUUUAUGGAAAAAUGGGUACUCUGUUCUUAUAAUAUAGGAAAGUCAUAAAGAGCUGAUUUUUUAUUAGAAAAUGGAUUUAUUUUUAUUUUAUUCGAUAAAUAAAUUUAGUUAUGAAAAAAUGGGUAUUCUGUUCUUAUAAUGGAGGAAAGCCAUAAAGAGUUGGUCUUUUUUGGGAAAGUGAUACUUUACACAAAGUGACCGCGAUUUGGUUUAUAAAAUAAUCCCAAAUAAAAAUUUAGAAUGAAUUUAUUUGUUUUGAAAGUUGUAUAACGGUUGUUAAAAUUUUAAAGAUUGGCAAAAAAAUUUUGGGGUUACAGAAAGGUAGAGCAAAGAAGGAGAAGAAUUGAGUUUUUUGUCCGUUGCAAUUGUUCUGUUAAAAAUGGCUCUAUUCGGUUUUACCCAUUUUUUGUUGGAUAAAAUCGUUGGUUCUAAUGAUUAAUUCUUCAUUUCCCGUCAAUUGUCCUUAAUUGGCAAAAAUUACGAAACUUUGAGCAUGCAAUAUGUUUGGGGUGAAAUUUUGAGGAUGAAAUUGGUCAACCACCCAAAUUUUGAGAAUGAAAAGUGCAUUUUUUCGUAUAAGAUAUUUAAUCAAAUGUUAUUUCUUGUCUUAAUUUUAGUUAUGACUAUGCUACAUAUUUAUUAAAUAGACAUACCUUUAUAAUUAAAGUUAAUAUUUGAUAUUUUAGGAUGUCAUAUAUUUAAAUAGAUGAAAAUUAUUUUGAACAUAACAUAUUAAAAUAAUUUUAUUUAUCAAUCAUUUUGGCCCUUCCAUCAAGGAAAAAAUCUUGGUUUCGUCACUGCCUAGGAGGAAAUUGGGGUCUAUUGCUAACAAAAGAUUGUGAAAAUUUACCUUUAUAUCCUAAUUAUUUGAAAAAAAUAUCUAAUGAACAAAUUUUGCAAAAGAAACCUUGUUUCUUACCAACAAAUUAAGUAACUAAUAAAAUCACCUUUAAUAUUGCUUUAACAUAUUUAAUUUAUGUUAAAUACAAAUUUUACCAGUUUCUCUUUUGUAAAAAUAUAAGUAUAUUACUUUUUCAAUUUUAGUUACAAACAUUUAUGUAUUUUAUGUAAAUGUAGUGAUUCAGAGUAAAAUGCCCAUAAAUAGCUAGUAUUUUGUUGAUGUAAUGCAAAAAAAUCCAUAAAGAGCUGGUAUAUUAUGGGCGCAAUCUUUUUUACUUUCAAAUAUUUAAAAUUUGUUAAAUGCAAAAUCUACUAGUUUUCCUUUCGUAAAAGUAUAAGUAUAAUACUUUUUCAAUUUUAGUUACAAACAUAUAUGUAUUUUAUAUAAAUGUAAUAAUUCAGAGUAAAAUACCUAUAAAUAGUUAGUAUUUUGUUGAUGUAUUGCAAAAAACUCAUAAAGAGCUGGUAUGUUAUGGGCAAAAAUUUUUUACUUUCACAUAUUUAAAAUUUGUUUAAUAUAAAAUUUACUAGUUUUCCUUUCGUAAAAAUAUUAGUGUAACACUUUUUCAAUUUUAGUUACAAAUAUUUAUGUAUUUUAUAUAAAUGUAAUGAUUCAGAAUAAAAUACCCGUAAAUAGCUAGUGUUUUGUUGAUGUAAUGCAAAAAAAAAAAAUUAUAAAGAAUAGGUAUGUUAUGGGCAAUAUAUUUUUUACUUUCAUAAAAAUCAGUUUAUGUACCAAGCAUGGCUGUGUUUAGUACUGCUUACCCUUUCUCUUUGGUGUUUUAUUUCUAGACCCAUUAUAUAUAAGUUAAUUCCGUGACACCCCAAUACAUUUUCAGCUUCUGCCAUACACAACAUUUCCAAACCGGCCCGUGCCUGUUAUAGGUCACUAUUUGCUUUUGUAAACAUAUUCCUUUCAUCAUCCGUACAUGUCAGUUUCUUUGACAUAUUCUUUACCUUUCCACGUGCCUGCUUUUUUGCCAUAUAAUUUACUUUCCACACCUGUCUUUGAAAUAUGUGAAUACACUACAGAAUUUACCUUAAAAUGCCGGCUUUGUUCAGUUAAUUCAUUCGCCUGAUUUUUCAUCUUUCUGGCAUGGCCUUCAAUCAACAAACGGUUCAAAAUCCCCCCCUGUUGUUCCCUUCUCUGUAAUGCAAUGAAAUCAUUAUCUAAUAAUGUUUCUACUUCCUCCAGCCAAUGUUUGACCUCAGUUUUCCUCUUCUGUCGUCCGGACAGCUCGGCUCUUUCCACAUCCUCCUUUAUGUCAGAUGCUCUGCUCCUCAAUGCGUUCAGAUUCCUGGGCAGCAAUUGCAUAUCAGAUCCCAAGCUCAAGUAACUCGUCCCUGCGUCCACUGAUACAUUUGCAGCCCUUUCAAAUGCUACGUCCUCCGCCUUCUCACCGAACUUGCCAAGCAGUCGAUACAUUUCAGCUGUAGUCUUCGUAAUGAUAGUCGUAAUGAUUUGCAUCGCCAUAGCCAUGGCCUUCAAACUUGCAUCCAAAAUCUAAUAAAAACGAACAAACAAGGAAUGUUACUGUUAGUUUGUACGACAAAAAGAAUUGAUGAAAUGAAAUGCGCCGCCCUCCUCUCAAAUGCUAUGUCCUCCACCUUCUCUGUGAACUUGCCAAGCUGUGGUAUCAUUUCAGUUAUAGCCUUCCCACUGAUAUUAAAAAUGAUUUGCAUCACCAUAUCCAUGGCCUUCAAACUUGCAUCCAUCUAAUAAAAUAUAGACCAGAAGAGAAUAUGUUAGUUUUUACAACAUAAGGAAUUCAUGAAACAAAGUGCUCCCCUCUCAACUGCUGUGUCCUCCACCUUCUCUAUAACCUUGCCAAGCUGUAGUAUCAUUUUAGCUAUAGCGUUCCCAAUGAUAUGCACAAUGAUUUCCAUAUGGAUGGCCUUCCAAACUGCAUCUGUCAUCUGAUAAAAAGAGACCAAAGAAUUUUAGAUUUUACAACAGCAAUAAUUGAUGAAACAAAAUGUGCCCUCUCCCCCUGCAAAUCUCGUGCUUUGUUGCUAGAUUAUGUGUGUCAAAUAAAUUAUACCUUUAAACUUCAACAGGAAAGGUCUUUGAAGAAUGAAAUAUACCUUAAAGAUUUCUUGAGAAUGAAAUAUAUCUUAAAGCUAAUACGAUGAGAAUCGUCACAAGGACGGGAAGAACGGCUGAUGGACGAGGGAUAGGUGGGUUAAUAGAGGAAGAAGCAACCUCUUUUUAGACGUUGAGAAUGAGAUUGACGAUGAAAACCACGGAAACCUGAUAGGAAAGUCAUGGGAAGAAACUUGGCAACUGGUUAGAAACCUGGUAUAAAAUUGCUAAGAUUGUCCAGCCGAUAAAUCAAUUAAUUAACAGUAAGAUUAAUUAGAAGUCCAGAUUAAAGUUGCGGUAUUCCUAGCAAGAUCCUUCUGCUUUGGAUUGAAAUCUGCUACUACUUGAAAUAUGGUUGAGAAUCUUGUAAUAUCAUAGAUAUCAUUUCCAAUUAAUUAGAUAGUGCUCUUUUUCUAUAUUGAUUCAAUGAAACAACACAAGUGAUUUGUUUUUUCCAUUUUUGAUGAUCAUAUUUCAAGUGAACCCAAGAUGUACAAGUAAAAAUGGUCAAAUAUGAGUUUCAAUAAGACGCAAUUGAUAGAUUUGCCAGCUGAACGUGAUUGGGGUAUUGUGGAACAAAAUAUUUCUUUCAUUCAUAUAGCUCACAAGAUUCUUUAAUUUCAGCAAUUGCCCAAUAGCCCACAAGUCCACAAACUGGACCAAGAAUCGAUGGGGUCCUUACAAAUGCCAUCCCCUUACAGUUUUUCACCCUCGAAGUUAAGUUUCUUGCGGCAAGGCCCAGAAGCCUCCGAAACCCACUUUUUUUUUUUUUUUUUUUUUUGAGAAAAAACGCACCUUAUUCGACAUUGUACUUAUUCCGGAGGUAAGGCCUUUCAUUUAUCUCGUACUCUACUUUAUUGUCUAUUAUAAAGUAGUAGGCGUCUAUUAAAAAGAGUAGGCGACUAUUAAACUCCAACCAUAUUUCAAAAAAAAAAAAAAAAAGUUGGUCUUGCAUUUUUAUUGAUAGAAAAUAAUUCGAUCCUUUUCAGGAUGUCAAGUAUAUUAGAGCGUCAUAUAAUGUUUCUCCCUAAUUUCAAACUUUGUAAAGGGAUUUUUUUUUUUUUUUUUUUUUUGGGAGGGCUCACAAUCAUCACAAAGCAUCUUCUUUUUGAAAUCUUUUCUUUCAUAUCCUUUUGUCUUGCCGAGUUCCAAGUGAGCUAUAAAAAAAGCCAUUUAUCAGGAGGUAUUUUUUAGAAAGAAUGUCUCGUCCAAGGCGUAAUCUCACCACAUUAAAAUCCAUAACUUCAAACAAUGCCUUUAUUAUUUGGUUUUUCCCCUCAUAAAAGUUGCUGGCCUUUUCCAUCUUUUCCAUAAAACAAAUUUCAAGUUCGAAUCUUUCAUCAAAUUAAAUAUAAUUGCAGCUUGUGCCAUUUUCAGAACCUUAGUUUACUCAAUAAUUUGACAAGUUAUUGUUCCCUUCUUUUUGUUCAAGUAGUCAAAUUUUUAGGAGGCAUUUAAUGUUUCAUGUUUUGGGAUGAAUCAAUUCACAAAACUUGAGGAAUGAGAGAAGUUGUGCAAAUAAUGGUUCUUCUUCAACUACUGUUGCUUGAUAUCUGCGAGCACUGCACUCACUGGAUCCUUUGUUUAUUUGUUGCAAAUCUGCAUUUCUGGGGGUUUUCUUGCACUGUCUUUUGAAUGAUAUAUUUAGUAUUCUCGAGCAUGGUAGCUAAACCGUAUGGUAUCUGUAUCUCUGAGUUUAAUCGACUGUUUCAGUUCUGCAGAACUGCGUUAAUAACACAUUGAAAAGAAGUGAUCUUACUUUUAUCUGCGUUAACACCCGUUUGUUUUCUUUGAAAGGACUGUAUUUGUUAGCAAAAUGAGAGGAGUGACGACUCACAGGCACAGCACUCACAGGCUUGCUUAACCUGAGAAUUAUUGACAAACAGAACUUAUUAUGAUACUAAAGCAAAGUGCAAUCAUGUAAGUUACUUUGCAAUUCUACUUCCUUCCAACUUAUUAUGGUCUCAAUAUGAAAUUUGGAAUUUAAACAUUUGCAAAUAUAUAUGCCCUACAGCUUUAUCUGCAAAGCCUCUUCAGAAAAGGGGAAAAACAAGACAACCUUCAACAGCAGGAAAUGAAAGAAAAAGAAAAUAACACAGAGAUCAGAUCAUUCACAGAAUAAAUUAAUACAAACACUGAAUCUAGAAAUGAAGAAGAAGAGAUGCAGAGAGAGCAAAAAAAAAAAAAAAUUUAAAUUUCAGACAUAAGAAAUUCAACUUUUACACACAUGUCAUGAAUCUAACGUUGAUAGUGUAUACACCGUCAGUGUAGGAAAGAUUAACUCUAAGAAAAAUUUGAAAAAAAAAAUUAAAAUGCUGUACGCAGUAGAUAACAUCAGAUUGACUAUAAGAAAAGGUGCAGUUGGCAAUUUGGUACCAUCGAAAAGGAAGUCAGUAGAGCAGAACUUGAGCCACUCUAGAAAAAAGGGAUAGACAGAGAACAUUCAACAGCAUAAAAUGGAAAAAAAAAUAGAGAAAAUUUAUGAUGACAUUGAACUCCAAAAUAAACAAGAAUAAAGACAGAUAGAGAAAAUAAAGCACUUAAAUCCAUUUUCCCAUCAGACAAACUCAAAAAAAGAGGGGGGGGGGGGGGGGAGGGAGAGAACAUUAUAUGUAGUAAAUUACGCAAAUUAAUUGAAGAAAGGGUGUUGGCAACUCUACACUGCCACAAAGGUAGUUGACAAAGAAAAAAUUAAGCUCAACACAGAAAGACUUAAUAUUGAUUCCUAUGCAAUAUCAAAUUCUAUGCAAGUGGAGAAGCAGAUCAUUUUGGGGAAAAAGGUCAAAGAAAAGGGAUACUUGGUAACAUUAGAGGAAGGGGACAAAAGACGUACAUGAUCAUCAGAUCCUGUCGACGAUCUGUUGUAGUAAUAAAUGGGUCAAGGGCAUUUUUGGUGUAGGAAUUGUCCCAUUCUAAUGAUUCCCACCAUUCUUUAUCUCCCCUGAUUUUGUGAAGAGUAGUGGGAACAGAUGGUAGUCCGUUGAUGGUGGAAAGAAACGAAGGCAGCCUCUUUAAAUUUGGACAAUUAAAUAUUGCGAUCUCCUUGAUUGAAUCGCAGAUCAAGGCUGCCUUGCAAAUGUUCUUCAGUUGCGGCAGCCGCCCCAGAUGCAACAGCCUUAAUUUCGGAAGGACGACAGUGGCGGUGGCUCCUUCACUUGAAGUCAAUUGGGUGCCUUCUCCUCCUCCUUGUCCUACUCCAUUGCCAUCUGCUGCUAUCUCCUCCAGUCCUUCACAUUCUAUAACUGUUAAUGUUUCAAGAUUUUGAAGGCUCUGCAGCAACUGCACUGUGAAUAGCUGCUUCAUGUUGUGACAUUUAGAAAUGCUCAAUUUUUUAAGGGAAGAAAAGGUGCCAGCUGGAAGCAAAUAUGGUGGUCCGUCGAUGGCAGAAAGAAACGAAGGCAGCCUCUUUAAAUUUGGACAACCGAAUAUUGCAAUAUCCUCAAUUGAUUCGCAGAUCAUGGCUGCCUUGCAAACGUUCUUCAGUUGUGGCAGGUUACGCAGAUGCAACCGCCUCAAUUUCGGACGGUUGAUGACAGUGGCGGUGGCUCCUUCACAUGAGGUCAAUUGGGUGCCUUCUCCUCCUCCUUGUCCUACUCCAUUGCCAUCUGCUGCUAUCUCCUCCAGUCCUUCACAAUUGCAAACGUGUAAUUCUUCAAGAUUUUGAAGGCUCUGCAGCA